This 484-nucleotide ribosomal RNA is filed under the name uncultured bacterium. Its description in RNAcentral is "partial 16S ribosomal RNA". It matches the Rfam family "Bacterial small subunit ribosomal RNA", at positions 30 to 507 of the family's 1533-position model. The record is from RNAcentral.
AUUGAACGCUGGCGGCAGGCCUAACACAUGCAAGUCGAGCGGAUGAAGGGAGCUUGCUCCUGGAUUCAGCGGCGGACGGGUGAGUAAUGCCUAGGGAUCUGCCUGGUAGUGGGGGAUAACGUCCGGAAACGGGCGCUAAUACCGCAUACGUCCUGAGGGAGAAAGUGGGGGAUCUUCGGACCUCACGCUAUCAGAUGAGCCUAGGUCGGAUUAGCUAGUUGGUGGGGUAAAGGCCUACCAAGGCGACGAUCCGUAACUGGUCUGAGAGGAUGAUCGGUCACACUGGAACUGAGACACGGUCCAGACUCCUACGGGAGGCAGCAGUGGGGAAUAUUGGACAAUGGGCGAAAGCCUGAUCCAGCCAUGCCGCGUGUGUGAAGAAGGUCUUCGGAUUGUAAAGCACUUUAAGUUGGGAGGAAGGGCAGUAAGUUAAUACCUUGCUGUUUUGACGUUACCAACAGAAUAAGCACCGGCUAACUUCGUG